This 72-nucleotide transfer RNA is filed under the name Marmota monax (woodchuck). RNAcentral's name for it is "tRNA.Ala". The record is from RNAcentral. Lineage: Eukaryota; Metazoa; Chordata; Mammalia; Rodentia; Sciuridae.
AGGAGUGUAGCUUAGUGACAGAGCACUUGCCUAGCGUGAGAGAGGCCCAGGGUUUGAUCCCCAGCACUGUGC